RNAcentral lists this non-coding RNA (87 nucleotides) under uncultured Clostridium sp. Its description in RNAcentral is "Purine riboswitch". It matches the Rfam family "Purine riboswitch aptamer", at positions 18 to 98 of the family's 102-position model. Rfam says of the family: Riboswitches are metabolite binding domains within certain messenger RNAs that serve as precision sensors for their corresponding targets. Allosteric rearrangement of mRNA structure is mediated by ligand binding, and this results in modulation of gene expression. A class of riboswitches that selectively recognises guanine and becomes saturated at concentrations as low as 5 nM. Lineage: Bacteria; Bacillati; Bacillota; Clostridia; Eubacteriales; Clostridiaceae. The record is from RNAcentral.
AAUGGAGCAUCCAUAUAAUCCUAAUAAUCUGGUUUAGGAGUUUCUACAGGAAACCGUAAAUUUCCCGUCUAUGGUUGAAGUGAUUUA